GGCGCUAUCGUCUAGGGGACUAGGACACGGCCCUCUCAAGGCUGGAACACGGGUUCGAAUCCCGUUAGCGCUA
This 73-nucleotide transfer RNA is filed under the name Gemmatimonadaceae bacterium. Its description in RNAcentral is "tRNA-Glu". It matches the Rfam family "tRNA". Rfam says of the family: Transfer RNA (tRNA) molecules are approximately 80 nucleotides in length. Their secondary structure includes four short double-helical elements and three loops (D, anti-codon, and T loops). RNAcentral also lists the same sequence under 2 other names. Lineage: Bacteria; Pseudomonadati; Gemmatimonadota; Gemmatimonadia; Gemmatimonadales; Gemmatimonadaceae. The record is from RNAcentral.